UGUGGCCCUGAGACACCGGCUGGAAACAAUUCUCACGCUGAGGGUCUCCCCCCUGCCCUCGCCCUGGCCCAAGACUCCGGUCUACAAGCCCCGUACCCCAGAGCGGCCCCUCUGCCUGCCGGUUAAGUGCCCAGUGUCUGCCUCCGACUCACUAUGCAGCUGGAGAAGCCGAUGCCCCCCAAGCGGGGGCACACGUAGUGCCACACACCAAUGCUGCCACGGCGGAUCCUCUGGCCCACAGCCAGCUCCAGGAAGAAGAGUGGGAUCCCGAUGAUGAUCAGUAGCACGAGGUAGGGCACCAGGUAGGCACCUGGGGAGGAGAGAGGAGCGUCACGGGGUGUCCGGAGCACGGCACCACGGUAAAGGAGGACAGCCUUGUCCUGCAGACCUGCCCACAUCUCUGAUCACCCCCAAAGUGCCAGCGGUCCUGUGCUCCUCCAGGAAUGGUCUGGCUCAUACGUGUGGCCCACCACACACUGGCCGCCCAGGCCCUCCUUCUCCCCGUUGACUCCUCUGCCCUGAAAUGCUAAGGGGGGAUCUAGAUGUAGGUCCAUGCCUCUCGCUCACAAGGUUGGAUUCAGAGAUGGACAGACAGACAGACAGAUGCCGCACUCUCAGGAAUCCACACGUCAAAUCACAAAUAGACACACUCUCCCCUCCCGACGUACUCUGUGGACACCUGUUCACACCCCCUCCCGCCCACAGAGAAGCAGCCCCAGAUGGAGUGGACCCUGCUCCCUCGUCCCCCAGAGGCACAGCCCCGGGGCACAGCCCUCCCCGCAUCUGAAGCAGAUGCUGACACAGCAGACCGGGUAGCUCCAGGGAAGCGGAGCUUUUGGAAGCUCUCCAGGGAGAGAGGGUCUGACCAGCAUCACCAUUAAUCUACAGCUAAUUGGGAGGAACGAGGGAGAAAUUAGCAGUUCAGAAAAGCACGGCCGAGAGGAUCAUAAUGGAUAGACAGGAUGGAUCUUGAUAAAGAUUCCAGAUGAGAAAUUAAACUCACUGUCCCUGGCCUCACUGCAGACACAAUCUCAAUUCCAAGUGACAGGGCAGUUAGCAGGAGAAUUAAAAUCGUGUCUGGACACAGAUGAGCGAUCCCUGCUGAGAGACGUGCCAGCAACCCAGUCCUGUUAGCAAUGCUGUCACACAGCCCCCGUCACCAGUGCCAUCAUGGCCACCCAGCACCCCCAGACCAAGCCUUGCCAGCUUGGAGCAUCCAGAAGACCCCCAGCCACAUGGCUCUGGCCCCCGUAACAUGACAUCCGUAUGUGUCCCAUCUGCCAAAGAACCCGGGGGAUCAGGCGUCUCUUGGGCACAAGACCCAGCGCUCGGCAACAGUCAGCUGUUGACUGUAGGCCUACCAUGCGCUUGGCAUGUGCGGGGUGCGGGGGGUGGGUACUUGGGUGAAAGAAGGCACAGCCGCUAUCCCAGGAGAGCUCACAGUCUGGAAGGCAAGACCCUCAGGUUCACACGAGCAACGUCAGCACAUGUACACACACACACACACACACACACACGCGGACCAGUCACACAGAGCCAACCGAGCACACGCGUGCUGAGGGAGGGGUCAGACAGAACUCAUCAGGAAAGUCCUCCAGGGGAGGUAACCCACCAAACCUUACACAACAGCAUCUGAUUCAUUAAAUAUCCACACGCAUACAGUCACACGUACACGUAAAUUCCACGUGUCGCUAACAAGCAGCCUGAAAAGAGGGUGGGCCCGAAGGACUCGCGGUUCUGUCUCCUGGUCCGGGGUUUCGGGGAAAUGAGAGAGGAGAGAAGUGACAUGCAGAAAAGCACAGGGACACAGCCUCCCUAGUUUCGUAUUUCACCCACAUACCCUUGGGUGGCGCAAGAUGUGCAGAAAGAUGGGUUUCGGGGUAGCAGAAGAGUAGGCUGGCAUCCUCUGGGGAUGCUUCUCUCCUCUGCCCCAAAGAACCAGGGAAAGCCUCCACAUCCGUGCUGUCCAAAGAGCGGCCCCACAGCAGAGACCGGUCCCUGGCAACCCGCCACCUGCCCCUCGGGCCGGUCGCCUGCGCCAGGCCCAGGGCACUGACUUGGCUGCAAUUCUCCUGACGGUGCCACGGCCUAGCCACGCGCAGCGCUUGGGCGCUGGGGGCUGGGUGAGAAUUGCUGGUUAGGCAGAGGUACUUUUCUUAUCAACCUUUGCUGACAUCAUUUGGAAACGCACCCUCUACCACCUUAGAAAAUACAACCUGGAGGCACAACUAGAUUGAUCUCCUUUGACGUUUCAGGGACGUUCGGGAGCUUCAGGUCGUCAGCCUAAACAGCCAGGAGUGCUGUGCACGGUGUUAGAAGUUUCACAGAACAUGGCUCUAGGAAGGUAAGAUUGUGUGAUCUCUGAGGCCUCCUGGAUCUCUCCAGUCUCUGUCCUGGUCUAUAUUCUAGGUCUUGCUUCCGGCACACCCUGAGGUUAUUUCUGGGCUCUGAAGCACCACCUUGGUCUCAGCCUGUUGAGAUGCAUACUAAGUAGGGACUGAGAUCUGGGGGGGGGGGGGCCAGACCCCCUGGGCUUGAAUCCUGGCUCUGCCACUUACUAGCUGUGUGACUCUGGACCAAUUACCUGAUCUCUCUACACCACUGUUUUGUCCUCUGCCUAAAAAAGGAUAAUAACAUUAGGUAGAACCACAUGAAACUGCUGAUCUCUGACCAUUUUUGACUUAUAAAAAUGGUCAUUUCACAUACUUCAACUCUACCCCUAUGGCACAGGGCUGUUUCAAGGAUUCAGUGGUUUCCUUACCCCUUAGUAAGCACUUGAUGAACAUUUGCCUCUUUUCAUAAAGAUAAACAGGAAAAAAAAAAAAAGCAAACUAAGAGGACACAGAAUAAAGAAACGGUCAGCAUCUAGUCGCGCUAAGCAGAGUUCCAGAGUUCCCACCCAGAUUUAAGCAAAGUUGGACUGGAUCCUUCACGGCUCGGAACCACAGAGCUUCCACUCUUGGACCGAAUAGUUGUCUCUUUCCUGUAUGUGAAACAUGAUAAUUUAUCUCCUUCCAAAAAAUAUUUAAGAUGACUUAUCAUAAACCCCGUAGAAUACUGGAGUCAAAGGCAGAGAUAGAAAGGGACUCUAGGAAUCAGAGAGGGGGGAAGGAUGGGGGCAGGAAUGAGUCAUGGGGAGCUCAAAAUCCUGAGAGUUAUAUCAACUCAGUGACCUGAGUCUGGCCAUGCGAUAUAGGCGAAAAGCUCUAAUUGGUAGCUAUUUAUUGAUUUAGUAGAGGUGGGGUGAAGACCUUUCAAAGCAUGGAGAGCAUACAGUGAAUAAACGGCGCCAUAGUGGCAAGAUAAAAGCCUCUGGCCUCAGUUACACCGGCUCGAGGGGGCAUGCUCACUUCCCACCCUUCAACAGAAAUUGGAAAGAAGGGAAGUCUCCAGCCAGGCUCGGCCUCUGGACGAGAGAGUGUUCUGCAGAGGAGGGAGCAUCCCUGAUGAGGAGGGCUCAUCCCUGAGAGGAGGGCUGCAUCUCUGGGAGAGGCUACAUGGCCAGAGUCCCACAGAGCAGAGAGAAAAGGAGUCAGGUGAGAAUGCCUACAAAGCUGUGGCCACCCAUCAGGCUGGAGUGUGGCAGUCCCAGGCCACAGGGACUAGGAGGCACAAGGGCUCUCUGCUGGCUCCAAUCACUUUCCCAGGACCAGAUGUCUGAGCUUGUAAAUGUCCUUGUUUUCAGCCUGCUAGGUUUUUCUGUGUUUAUUUUCUGUUAGUUUUCCCCUGGUUUCAAAACAAAUUACCUUUGAAACAUUCCAGCCUGCCUCAGACGGGCCGGAGGAUAAGGGCCCGGGGGCUGCUACCCACCUGGGUGGCUAGAAGUGGCUAGUAGAAGGGGUUUGAUUCCAGGGGCAAGAUCCUGUAGGCGGAUUAAAACUCGGGGGGCAGUGCGAGGCCCCCUCCUCCCUGGGAGGCAGCAGGUAUGCUCAGACUCUGGGGGCCAAGCUGUUCUGGUUAGAAUCCUUACUUUAUCACUAGCUGUGUGACCUUGAGUGAGAUACCUAACCUCUCUGUGCCUCAAUUUUGCAGUCUCUACCAUGAGGAUAGUAACUCCUUCCUCACACAGGGAGUAGGGGGAUUCGAUGGCUGAACUGUAUGAAAUUGGUGCUUUGGUUGGUCCCAGACACUUAAAUAUCAGCAGUUUCAUGCAUUUCGGCCUAAUAUCCGGUAAGUGUUGAACAGUGCCUGGCACCUGCUAAGCCUUUAAGUGUCAUGGCCAACAGUUUCUCUUUACUAUGCGUCAGAUAACGGUGUUAAGCAUUCCACACAUAAGGCUCACCAAAUCCUCCCAACUUUGCUGUAAGGCAGGAUCUACUAUUAUUCCCAUUUUACAGAUGAUGACAGAGAGGCACAGAGAGAUCAAGCAACUUGUACAGGGCUGCAAUGCCAGCUGGCUGCACUGGGGUUUGUGCCCAGGCAGUCCCGGGCCAGAGCCCACGUUCUUAUCAUCAUCAUGCCUGACAGCCUCUUGGUAGCUAUGAACCAUUAGCUAUUUCUGGGGAGCCUUCCUCUGGACUCCCGAGCUCCACCCUAUGAGGGCUCCAAUUCUGCAUCAGCAAAGGGGCGUCCCUUUCCACCCCUCAGCCCGGCCCCUUUGCAAGGCCCCCUUGGGGUAGGCAGGGCUGCCUCUUACCGCCUCCAUUUUUCUGGCACAGGUAGGGGAACCUCCAGAUGUUGCCCAGGCCCACGGAGAAGCCGAUCUGGGCCAGGAUGUACUGCAGCUUGCUGUUCCAGGCCGGCCGGUCCUCCGCGUCCAGCUCCUCCUCUGCCGCCUUCUGCUUGCCGCUGGCCUCACCUGCCACGUUCAGGAUGCUCUGCUUGUAGUCCACGGGCUCCUCGAGGGCCAGCAGGUCGGCCACCGACUCCGUGACAUGCUCACUGCUGUGCUCACGCUGGGUCACCUUGCUGUUCUUAGGCAUUGGUGCCGCCUGGGCCACGCAGCCCCGCUCCCUGGCACUCAGAGAAGGUGGGGCUCAGCUGCUGUCAGCUCCUUCUCAUCCAGGGACCUGUGAGACCAGGUGAGCAGGGGAGGAUCAGCUGAC
Molecule: long non-coding RNA, 5045 nt
Filed under: Lynx pardinus (Iberian lynx)
Lineage: Eukaryota; Metazoa; Chordata; Mammalia; Carnivora; Felidae
Source: RNAcentral